Non-coding RNA from Biomphalaria pfeifferi, 219 nucleotides. The record is from the annotation of a GenBank genome assembly. NCBI's taxonomy places the organism in Eukaryota, Metazoa, Mollusca, Gastropoda, Planorbidae.
CCUCAAGUUCGUAUUAAGGCUAGCACUGGGAUUUUUAACAUCGUGACUCUUACAGACCCUUUUUUUUGACUGUAAUUAGGUCCCUUACAUAAGUUACGAAAGUUAUCUUCAGCCAUAGAGACAUCAGCCAUAGAGACAUCAGCCAUAGAAACAUCAGCCAUAGAAACAUCAGCCAUAGAGACAUCAGCAACAGAGACAUCAACAAUAGAGACAUCAGCC